CCGUGCUGAAGACGAAGAGCAUUCCAGUGACUUUGAGCCAGAAGAAAAUGGUGAUGGUGCUGAGGACGAGGAGAUUGAGGAUGAUGAUGCUGAGGAUGGUGAGGAUUCUGUCAAGGCGCAAUCCUCUUCGAAGAGGAAGAGGUCUGGCGCGGAGGAUGAAGAUGAUGAUGACGGUGAUGAUGAUGGUGAUGAUGAUGAGAAGCCUCCAUCAAAGCGAUAGUCAAUUUGUUCUUGCUGAUCUGGUAUCUUUUCUGCUUGGGCCAAGAAGGAAAAUAAUCCUCACGGAGAGGGUUGUUGGUAAAUGCUGUAGCUUUAGGACAUCUGUGGUAGGUGUAGCAGCUCGAACUUGAGUCUACCCAUGUUAGUUGUUAGUGCAUACUGCUGAUGUUGAUUAACAGCCUCGGGGAACUUCUGUAUGAGCAUUAGAUAUGGGGCUUGUUAUAUGCUUGUGUAGCUUCUGAUUAAAACCUGUGGAAUGUGGAUGCUCUGUUCUGAAUCUUGUUUUCAUGAUAUUUCU
Molecule: long non-coding RNA, 517 nt
Filed under: Triticum aestivum (bread wheat)
Lineage: Eukaryota; Viridiplantae; Streptophyta; Magnoliopsida; Poales; Poaceae
Description: long non-coding RNA (TAES_LNC026069)
Source: RNAcentral